CCUUUUCUAGGGCCGCUCCAGCGGCAUAUGGAGGUUCCCAGGCUAGGAGUCAAAUAGGAGCUGUAGCCACCAGCCUACACCACGGCCACAGCAACGUAGAAUCCGAGCCACGUCUGCGACCCACACCACAGCUCACGGCAACGCCAGAUCCUUAACCACUGAGCAAGGCCAGGGAUCGAACCUGCAACCUCACGGGUCCUAGUCGGAUUCGUUACCCACUGUGCCACGACGGGAACUCCACUCCUGGAUAUUUUUUAAUACUGUUGUGAAUGAAGUUUUUUAAAUUUCAUUUUUGAAUCAUUUAUUGUUAGUAUAUUAAAACACAAUUGAUUUGUCUAUAUCAAUCAUGUAUCCUGUGAUAUUGCUAAAUUCUCUUAGUCCUAUUAGCAUUUUUUAUUGAUUCCUUAGGAUUUUCCAUGUCCAUGGUCAUGUGAUCUGCGAACAAAUACAGUUUUAGUCCUUCGUUUACAACCUGUUCUCUUUUAUUUACCUUACUUUAUCAUACUGAGUAGACUCUCCAGUGUGAUAGGAACUAGAAAUGAUGAAUGUAGAAUUGCCUUCUUCCUGAUCGUAGAUAGAAACAUGGAGUCUUUCAAGAUUGAGUAUUUCGAUGACUAAUUUUGUGUGUCAGCUGAGUUAGGCUAAGUUACAUCUUUGGUCAAACAUCAGUGUAGGUAUGACUGUGAAUGGUAUUUUCCAGAUGUGAUUAACAUUUAACUCAGUAGACCUUGAUAAAACACCUUCUGUACUGUGGGUGGGCCUAAUCCAAUCAGUCAAAGGCCUUGAUUAACAAAGACAAGUCCUCUGAGAAAGAAAGAAUUUGGCCUCCAGACUGCUGGUAGGCUCCAGCAGUCUGCUGGUCUGCCCUGUAAAUUUGGGACUUUCCAGAUCCCAUAGUCAGGUGAAGCAAUUGCUAUAAAUAAAUACAUGCAUACAUAAAUAAAUAAAUUCAUGGUAUAUGUAUAUGUACACACACACACACACACACACACACACACACACACACACACACACACCCUGCUCUACUAAUUCUAUGUCUCUAGAGAACCCUAAUACAAAUAUAUUGUUGCUGAAACUUGAAACUCAGCAUCCGUCCACCAUUGCCAAAAUAGAAAUGCAGAGACACAGUUUGGGGUGAAGGAGAAAAAGACAGCUUUGUGCUUUGCCAAGGAAAGGGGGCCACAGCAGGAGGUGGUUUUGUAGUUUGGGGAGUGGAAAAUAGGGCCACAGAUAAGGAUCAUAGCAGGUGUUUAGAGCCUCCCAGGACUGGUUCUGGCGGUCCUCUUUCUUCCUGGAAUAAAGAAUGCUUCAUCAUUUGUUGGGGGUUUUAGUUCUGCAGAAAGACUCAAAGAUAUUGUUAUGUCUAUUCCUUAAGGAGGAACCGGGACCCUACCCCAAGGCUGCACUAUUGUCUCUUGACUUCUCUUCCCUGGUCUUUUCAUUCCUUCGCUUCCUGGAUUACAGCUACCCUUUCAAGCUCAGGGAAGAUCCUGGAGGCUGAAAUUCAUUUCCUCAAAACAAGAAGUGGAGGACACAGAAAGGCUUGUGUGCCCAGUGCUAGGUUUGUCCCAGGAAAACAAGACUUAGCUCUAGGCUCUCGCCCGGCUUCUGGAGAGACAUGACGAAGACAUGACUAAAUCUUCCCUAAAAUCAUGUGACCCAAUCUUAAAGACUACCCCACUAUCCAGGAGAAUGUCUAAACGUCUGUUCAUAUCCUACUAACAAUUCCCCCAAACUGGUCUGUUCCUUUUCACCCUAUUUACAUAAGAAAUGGCCAAUCAGCUUCUGCACAGAAACCCCCUUUCCUGGCACCCACAUAUAACCUCCCUCCUUGACCAGCUGACUGCUGACAUCCCCUUGUGAGUCAGCCCGGCAGUACACCCUAGUAAUAAAGUUUUUUAUGCCUGAACACAGGUCUUGUCCUUUUGGCCAAACUUACACCCAGGAGCCUCCCAGGGCUCCGCUUGGUUAUAAUAUUAGCUGUGGUUUUUUUUAUAGGUGUCCUUAAUUAGAGACAAUUCGUGGUGUUUUUUUGUUUGUUUUUGUUUUUAAUCAUGAAUGGAUUUGUAUUUUGACAAAUGCUUUCUCCGGAUCUAUUAAAAUGGAGUAUUUGUUCUUUAGCUUGUUAAUAUAAUAAAUGACAUUAAUUGAUUUUCAAAUGCUGAACCAGGCUUGUGUUCUCAGGAAAAACUCAGUUGGUCGUGACUUACAAUCUUUUAAAAAGAUGGUUGGAAUUCAUUUAUAACAAUUUUGUUCAAGGAUUUUUAUAUUUAUGGUCAUGAGGAAUAUUUUUCUGUAAUACCUGGGAACUGAAGUUUGGCAGCUGUAGAUGGGGCUUUGUACUCUCUGUAGUGAAUCUGACUUGCUAGGCUGUGAGCAGGAGAGUGGGGUAAGUAGUACAAAACACAUGGUGACCUAUGAACUUCUUGGAUGGGAACAGUGAAGACAGCCUGAACCACCCAACAGAGACAUUCAGCCAUAUACGUAAGCACUCUCAUGCAUAUUUGUGAAAUGUAUUACACAUGAUAUGUAGAUGUGGAUAUGGGAAAAAACUAGAAAAGAAUACCUGUCUCCUUUCACUACUCUAUAUUCAUUAGAAAAAAAAUAUUGGAUAAACUAUUAACAAGUGCCUCAGGAUUACCCUGUCAGUAUUGCAAUGUGUGGGGAAAGGACUUUGGGUAGGAUGCAGGACCUAGGUCCCUGCAAUGGCACUGGAUUGAAUAUAUAGGGCCUACCCCUUCAAAAUGGAGCUUAAUCUAUGAUUAUUAUAUUUUUCUGUGAUCACAGUCUUACUUCAGAGGUAAGAAGGGUAAGCAAAGCUCUUUGCCAUUGCAUUGAAAACCAGAUCAUAAUAAUAACUCUGCUAUUGAACCAGCAAGCAAUUAUAAGGAUUCUUUUUUACAGCAUCAUUUCAAAUGUGGAAUAUUGGAAAGAAUCUAAGUGUCCAACUGUUGGGAACUUGGUAAGCAAACAAUGGCAAAUUCAUACGAUAGACUGUUUUUCAGCUAUAAAAAUGAUGCUGUGGAUGGGGAGGCAAUAACUUGGAAAGAUAUUAAAAUAUAUUAUUAAGUGAAGAGAGCAAGUUAUACAACAUCUAUGUUUGAUUGGAUUUUUUCUAGGAAAUACUUACCUAGUCACUUAGCUGCCAUCAGUUACCACCUACUGAAGGAUAUAGUCCUUGAGUGUAUAAACUGGUUAUCUCAGUAUAGAAAGAUUAUGACUCCUUUGUGUUUUAUCCUCCUUUGCUUACCUUUAUUUCAAUGGUAUUUUUUUUCUUUGCUGACUAUCACUUCUUAAAAUAAGAGAAAUAAAUGGAAUAUACUGCAAUGAGACAGAGAGUAAGAGUGGGACAGGUAGAGUGCCAGCAUGCUAGAGAGAGUGUGUCUGGGAGAGAAGAAAGAGUGCAUUAACUCAGAGAUGAACUGGUGUCUCCAUACCACUGCUGAAUCUAACUCUGAACUCGACAUUUGACUUCAAUCCACUUCCUACACUAAAUAAAUUCAAACCAUGUUCCUGAUGAAUGACUAGUCCUUUAGUUUAUGAGGUGUCUCCCUACAGCUCAUACCUGUAACGUGACAUCAACUCAUGCCUGUGUCUGAGCUCCACUUGGACCCCACCUCCCUCCAUCCAUGCAGUCAUGAUAUAAGAAGGUUUUGUUUUAAGUCAGAGGUUGGACCAUAGAUAAUGUACCAGGCUGCAUCAAUUUUAUGAUAGGUUAGGACUGUUCACAAUACACAUAACUACAUCAUGCAGCAAACUUCCAGUCUAUAAUGGCAGUACAAGCUAAUUGCCAGCUGUCAUUCAUUAAUGCUCUUAACUUUUCUUUUUUUGACACUCAGGUCAAUUUUCUCAAUUAUAUUACCUGCUCUGACAUAUAUUAUAUAAACAUGAAUAUAAAUUUUUUUGUAUAUUGAAACAUUUAAGUAAAAUUCAGUAACUGAGAUUUUAAUAUUUUGGGAAUUGACUUUUAAAUUUAUAAUUUUACUUCUUAAUGUUAAAUGUCAUACAUUCAAAAUUAAAGCUGGUUUUCCAAAUUCUUUUCAUUUAUUGAAGCGUUUCAUUUGUUCAUUCUAUGUCAGGAUAAUGAAAAACAAAAUUUAACUCACCCGGUUCAGCUAAAGAGUUUAAUGAAGGGAUGGCGCUAUGGGCUGAAUGGUUGGGCCACUCGAAAAUUCACGUGUUGAAACGCUACUCCUCAAGGUUACAGCAAAAACAGAACAAAACAAACAAGUCAUCUAGGAA
This 4242-nucleotide long non-coding RNA is filed under the name Sus scrofa (pig). Its description in RNAcentral is "lncRNA (ENSSSCG00000044485.2)". The record is from RNAcentral. Lineage: Eukaryota; Metazoa; Chordata; Mammalia; Artiodactyla; Suidae.